Molecule: ribosomal RNA, 465 nt
Filed under: uncultured Klebsiella sp.
Lineage: Bacteria; Pseudomonadati; Pseudomonadota; Gammaproteobacteria; Enterobacterales; Enterobacteriaceae
Description: bacterial SSU rRNA
Rfam family: Bacterial small subunit ribosomal RNA
Source: RNAcentral
CCUACGGGGGGCUGCAGUGGGGAAUAUUGCACAAUGGGCGCAAGCCUGAUGCAGCCAUGCCGCGUGUGUGAAGAAGGCCUUCGGGUUGUAAAGCACUUUCAGCGGGGAGGAAGGCGGUGAGGUUAAUAACCUCAUCGAUUGACGUUACCCGCAGAAGAAGCACCGGCUAACUCCGUGCCAGCAGCCGCGGUAAUACGGAGGGUGCAAGCGUUAAUCGGAAUUACUGGGCGUAAAGCGCACGCAGGCGGUCUGUCAAGUCGGAUGUGAAAUCCCCGGGCUCAGCCUGGGAACUGCAUUCGAAACUGGCAGGCUAGAGUCUUGUAGAGGGGGGUAGAAUUCCAGGUGUAGCGGUGAAAUGCGUAGAGAUCUGGAGGAAUACCGGUGGCGAAGGCGGCCCCCUGGACAAAGACUGACGCUCAGGUGCGAAAGCGUGGGGAGCAAACAGGAUUAGAUACCCUUGUAGUC